GAUGUCAAUGGUAUUCAUAUAUGUUUUCAAAAAAUACCUGUUCCAAAUAUAAAACAACAGCCUCCUCAUCCAGAUGUUGCCAUGCAUGUCCAAGCUCCAAAAAUUUAUGGGUACCCUUCCAAUGAUCUUCCUUAUCCAACACAGAAUAAUAUCCAAAGUGAUUUUUUACCAAACACAAAUAGAAUAAAGUCUAUGGAAAACAAACAUUAGGUAUUCAAGGUGUUAUGUUUGAGAUCAAUCCAAGAUUUCAAAGAAUAUGGAAAAUAGCCAAGUUUCUCAAAAAUUCAGGCAAAUUCGAUCUAUUAGAGACAUUGAUUUGAAGUAUAACUACACAUUUGAAAUGGAAAGAUUAUACUAUCCAGAUAAUGAUUUAUAUGUGAAGGACAGUAACAUGUUAUAUAGUUAAAAUGUAUUGACAGAGAUUAGUGUUUUAAAUGAUAAAAAUAAUGUGUUAAUAUCAAUAAAAUUAAAGAAAAUCUUGCUGCAGAUUUCACAGUUGAA
This is a long non-coding RNA of Xenia sp. Carnegie-2017, 501 nucleotides long. RefSeq lists it as uncharacterized. The record is from RefSeq and is a predicted model, not a curated record. The transcript has 5 exons. Lineage: Eukaryota; Metazoa; Cnidaria; Anthozoa; Malacalcyonacea; Xeniidae.